GUGAGGAAUAUUGGUCAAUGGGCGCAAGCCUGAACCAGCCAUGCCGCGUGCAGGAAGACGGUCCUAUGGAUUGUAAACUGCUUUUAUUUGGGAAUAAACCUCCUUACGUGUAGGGAGCUGAAUGUACCAAAUGAAUAAGCACCGGCUAACUCCGUGCCAGCAGCCGCGGUAAUACGGAGGGUGCAAGCGUUAUCCGGAAUCAUUGGGUUUAAAGGGUCCGCAGGCGGUCAUAUAAGUCAGUGGUGAAAGCCUACAGCUCAACUGUAGAACUGCCAUUGAUACUGUAUGACUUGAAUUCGAUCGAAGUGGGCGGAAUGUGACAUGUAGCGGUGAAAUGCUUAGAUAUGUCACAGAACACCGAUAGCGAAGGCAGCUCACUAGGUCUGGAUUGACGCUCAGGGACGAAAGCGUGGGGAGCAAACAGGAUUAGAUACCCUAGUAGUCC
This 445-nucleotide ribosomal RNA is filed under the name uncultured bacterium. RNAcentral's name for it is "partial 16S ribosomal RNA". It matches the Rfam family "Bacterial small subunit ribosomal RNA", at positions 354 to 796 of the family's 1533-position model. The record is from RNAcentral.